GGGGCCCUAAUACAUGGCAAGGUCGAACGAACUCUGGUAUUGAUUGGUGCUUGCAUCAUGAUUUACAUUUGAGUGAGUGGCGAACUGGUGAGUAACACGUGGGAAACCUGCCCAGAAGCGGGGGAUAACACCUGGAAACAGAUGCUAAUACCGCAUAACAACUUGGACCGCAUGGUCCGAGCUUGAAAGAUGGCUUCGGCUAUCACUUUUGGAUGGUCCCGCGGCGUAUUAGCUAGAUGGUGGGGUAACGGCUCACCAUGGCAAUGAUACGUAGCCGACCUGAGAGGGUAAUCGGCCACAUUGGGACUGAGACACGGCCCAAACUCCUACGGGAGGCAGCAGUAGGGAAUCUUCCACAAUGGACGAAAGUCUGAUGGAGCAACGCCGCGUGAGUGAAGAAGGGUUUCGGCUCGUAAAACUCUGUUGUUAAAGAAGAACAUAUCUGAGAGUAACUGUUCAGGUAUUGACGGUAUUUAACCAGAAAGCCACGGCUAACUACGUGCCAGCAGCCGCGGUAAUACGUAGGUGGCAAGCGUUGUCCGGAUUUAUUGGGCGUAAAGCGAGCGCAGGCGGUUUUUUAAGUCUGAUGUGAAAGCCUUCGGCUCAACCGAAGAAGUGCAUCGGAAACUGGGAAACUUGAGUGCAGAAGAGGACAGUGGAACUCCAUGUGUAGCGGUGAAAUGCGUAGAUAUAUGGAAGAACACCAGUGGCGAAGGCGGCUGUCUGGUCUGUAACUGACGCUGAGGCUCGAAAGUAUGGGUAGCAAACAGGAUUAGAUACCCUGGUAGUCCAUACCGUAAACGAUGAAUGCUAAGUGUUGGAGGGUUUCCGCCCUUCAGUGCUGCAGCUAACGCAUUAAGCAUUCCGCCUGGGGAGUACGGCCGCAAGGCUGAAACUCAAAGGAAUUGACGGGGGCCCGCACAAGCGGUGGAGCAUGUGGUUUAAUUCGAAGCUACGCGAAGAACCUUACCAGGUCUUGACAUACUAUGCAAAUCUAAGAGAUUAGACGUUCCCUUCGGGGACAUGGAUACAGGUGGUGCAUGGUUGUCGUCAGCUCGUGUCGUGAGAUGUUGGGUUAAGUCCCGCAACGAGCGCAACCCUUAUUAUCAGUUGCCAGCAUUAAGUUGGGCACUCUGGUGAGACUGCCGGUGACAAACCGGAGGAAGGUGGGGAUGACGUCAAAUCAUCAUGCCCCUUAUGACCUGGGCUACACACGUGCUACAAUGGAUGGUACAACGAGUUGCGAACUCGCGAGAGUAAGCUAAUCUCUUAAAGCCAUUCUCAGUUCGGAUUGUAGGCUGCAACUCGCCUACAUGAAGUCGGAAUCGCUAGUAAUCGCGGAUCAGCAUGCCGCGGUGAAUACGUUCCCGGGCCUUGUACACACCGCCCGUCACACCAUGAGAGUUUGUAACACCCAAAGUCGGUGGGGUAACCUUUUAGGAACCAGCCGCCUAAAGGUGACCAAC
RNAcentral lists this ribosomal RNA (1466 nucleotides) under Lactiplantibacillus plantarum. RNAcentral describes it as "bacterial SSU rRNA". It matches the Rfam family "Bacterial small subunit ribosomal RNA". The record is from RNAcentral. Lineage: Bacteria; Bacillati; Bacillota; Bacilli; Lactobacillales; Lactobacillaceae.